GAUGAACGCUAGCUACAGGCUUAACACAUGCAAGUCGCGGGGCAGCAUGGGGGUUGCUUGCAAUCCCCGAUGGCGACCGGCGCACGGGUGAGUAACGCGUAUCCAACCUGCCCUUCACCACGGGAUAACCCGGCGAAAGUCGGACUAAUACCGUAUGUUGUCCAUUGACGGCAUCCGAUUUGGACGAAAGGUUUGGCGGUGAAGGCUGGGGAUGCGUCCGAUUAGCUGGACGGCGGGGUGACGGCCCACCGGGGCGACGAUCGGUAGGGGUUCUGAGAGGAAGGUCCCCCACACUGGAACUGAGACACGGUCCAGACUCCUACGGGAGGCAGCAGUGAGGAAUAUUGGUCAAUGGGCGUAAGCCUGAACCAGCCAAGUAGCGUGCAGGAUGACGGCCCUAUGGGCUGUAAACUGCUUUUAUGCGGGGAUAAAGUGGCCCACGUGUGGGUUUUUGCAGGUACCGCAUGAAUAAGGACCGGCUAAUUCCGUG
This 490-nucleotide ribosomal RNA is filed under the name uncultured bacterium. RNAcentral describes it as "partial 16S ribosomal RNA". It matches the Rfam family "Bacterial small subunit ribosomal RNA", at positions 28 to 507 of the family's 1533-position model. The record is from RNAcentral.